RNAcentral lists this ribosomal RNA (474 nucleotides) under Neisseria mucosa. RNAcentral describes it as "bacterial SSU rRNA". It matches the Rfam family "Bacterial small subunit ribosomal RNA", at positions 30 to 493 of the family's 1533-position model. The record is from RNAcentral. Lineage: Bacteria; Pseudomonadati; Pseudomonadota; Betaproteobacteria; Neisseriales; Neisseriaceae.
AUUGAACGCUGGCGGCAUGCUUUACACAUGCAAGUCGGACGGCAGCACAGAGAAGCUUGCUUCUUGGGUGGCGAGUGGCGAACGGGUGAGUAACAUAUCGGAACGUACCGAGCAGUGGGGGAUAACUAAUCGAAAGAUUAGCUAAUACCGCAUAUAUUCUGAGGAAGAAAGCAGGGGACCAUUUGGCCUUGCGCUGUUUGAGCGGCCGAUAUCUGAUUAGCUAGUUGGUGGGGUAAAGGCCUACCAAGGCGACGAUCAGUAGCGGGUCUGAGAGGAUGAUCCGCCACACUGGGACUGAGACACGGCCCAGACUCCUACGGGAGGCAGCAGUGGGGAAUUUUGGACAAUGGGCGCAAGCCUGAUCCAGCCAUGCCGCGUGUCUGAAGAAGGCCUUCGGGUUGUAAAGGACUUUUGUCAGGGAAGAAAAGGGCGGGGUUAAUACCCCUGUCUGAUGACGUACCUGAAGAUAAGCCC